AACGAACGCUGGCGGCAUGCCUAACACAUGCAAGUCGAACGAGACCUUCGGGUCUAGUGGCGCACGGGUGCGUAACGCGUGGGAACCUGCCCUUAGGUUCGGAAUAACUCCCCGAAAGGGGUGCUAAUACCGGAUAAUGUCUUCGGACCAAAGAUUUAUCGCCUUUGGAUGGGCCCGCGUUGGAUUAGCUAGUUGGUAGGGUAAAAGCCUACCAAGGCGACGAUCCAUAGCUGGUCAGAGAGGAUGAUCAGCCACACUGGGACUGAGACACGGCCCAGACUCCUACGGGAGGCAGCAGUGGGGAAUAUUGGACAAUGGGCGGAAGCCUGAUCCAGCAAUGCCGCGUGAGUGAUGAAGGCCUUAGAGUUGUAAAGCUCUUUUACCCGGGAUGAUAAUGACAGUACCGGGAGAAUAAGCUCCGGCUAACUCCGUG
This 433-nucleotide ribosomal RNA is filed under the name uncultured bacterium. Its description in RNAcentral is "partial 16S ribosomal RNA". It matches the Rfam family "Bacterial small subunit ribosomal RNA", at positions 29 to 507 of the family's 1533-position model. The record is from RNAcentral.